CAUGAUGAACGCUAGCUACAGGCUUAACACAUGCAAGUCGAGGGGCAGCAUGAACUUAGCUUGCUAAGUUUGAUGGCGACCGGCGCACGGGUGAGUAACACGUAUCCAACCUGCCGAUGACUCGGGGAUAGCCUUUCGAAAGAAAGAUUAAUACCCGAUGGCAUAGUUCUUCCGCAUGGUAGAACUAUUAGAGAAUUUCGGUCAUCGAUGGGGAUGCGUUCCAUUAGGUUGCUGGCGGGGUAACGGCCCACCAAGCCUUCGAUGGAUAGGGGUUCUGAGAGGAAGGUCCCCCACAUUGGAACUGAGACACGGUCCAAACUCCUACGGGAGGCAGCAGUGAGGAAUAUUGGUCAAUGGACGAGAGUCUGAACCAGCCAAGUAGCGUGAAGGAUGACUGCCCUAUGGGUUGUAAACUUCUUUUAUACGGGAAUAAAGUGAGGCACGUGUGCCUUUUUGUAUGUACCGUAUGAAUAAGGAUCGGCUAACUCCGUGCCAGCAGCCGCGGUAAUACGGAGGAUCCGAGCGUUAUCCGGAUUUAUUGGGUUUAAAGGGAGCGUAGGCGGACGCUUAAGUCAGUUGUGAAAGUUUGCGGCUCAACCGUAAAAUUGCAGUUGAUACUGGGUGUCUUGAGUACAGUAGAGGCAGGCGGAAUUCGUGGUGUAGCGGUGAAAUGCUUAGAUAUCACGAAGAACUCCGAUUGCGAAGGCAGCUUGCUGGACUGUGACUGACGCUGAUGCUCGAAAGUGUGGGUAUCAAACAGGAUUAGAUACCCUGGUAGUCCACACAGUAAACGAUGAAUACUCGCUGUUUGCGAUAUACAGUAAGCGGCCAAGUGAAAGCGUUAAGUAUUCCACCUGGGGAGUACGCCGGCAACGGUGAAACUCAAAGGAAUUGACGGGGGCCCGCACAAGCGGAGGAACAUGUGGUUUAAUUCGAUGAUACGCGAGGAACCUUACCCGGGCUUGAAUUGCAACUGAAUGAUGUGGAGACAUGUCAGCCGCAAGGCAGUUGUGAAGGUGCUGCAUGGUUGUCGUCAGCUCGUGCCGUGAGGUGUCGGCUUAAGUGCCAUAACGAGCGCAACCCUUAUCGAUAGUUACCAUCAGGUUAUGCUGGGGACUCUGUCGAGACUGCCGUCGUAAGAUGUGAGGAAGGUGGGGAUGACGUCAAAUCAGCACGGCCCUUACGUCCGGGGCUACACACGUGUUACAAUGGGGGGUACAGAAGGCAGCUACACGGCGACGUGAUGCUAAUCCCUAAAGCCUCUCUCAGUUCGGAUUGGAGUCUGCAACCCGACUCCAUGAAGCUGGAUUCGCUAGUAAUCGCGCAUCAGCCACGGCGCGGUGAAUACGUUCCCGGGCCUUGUACACACCGCCCGUCAAGCCAUGAAAGCCGGGGGUACCUGAAGUGCGUAACCGCAAGGAGCGCCCUAGGGUAA
This 1435-nucleotide ribosomal RNA is filed under the name uncultured organism. RNAcentral's name for it is "SSU rRNA". It matches the Rfam family "Bacterial small subunit ribosomal RNA". The record is from RNAcentral.